Molecule: unclassified non-coding RNA, 842 nt
Filed under: Hevea brasiliensis (rubber tree)
Lineage: Eukaryota; Viridiplantae; Streptophyta; Magnoliopsida; Malpighiales; Euphorbiaceae
Source: RNAcentral
CAAUCUCAACAACAGCAUUUGAUUCAUCUAUAUCUUGGUCCUUAAGAAGCAAAUUGAAAGUAUCACAAUAAUCUGGGAGGAGCCUCAUGUAAUUCAUCACAUACUUCACGAGGGGAUGGAUUCCACCUCCAGGGAAAGGGCGUAUAGAUGAAUCAGAUGCAAUGGCAUUCCCAAAUCUCAUAAAGGUCUCCCUUGCAGAAGCACCCAAUCCACUUAAAAGUUUGUGGUACUCUAUUCUAAUAAAAGAACCAUUAUCUUCUGAGAACAAACUGUCCAUCUCUAGGUGAAGAUCUGCCAUAAUCUCAUACAUGUCAAGCAGGCGGAAUAACUUCUCAGGCUUCUGAGGUCCGGUUGUUAUGGCUUUGCCAAAAUUCAAAAAGCACAAAACCGAAUCCUUUGAGAUUUCAAUGAAGCAAAACGAAUUGAAAGAACCAAAAUCCCCCAAUAUCUGGUCACAAAGUCGUUUCUCACUAGCAAGAUACACGCUAAUCAUAACUUUCAUAAUCCAAAUCCAUUUCUUGAUCUUCCUGCUCAAGCAAUCCCAUUCCAGCUUCAGAACGUCCUCAAUACUGAGUUUCUCCAUUUCAAGAACGGACAAGUAUUCAUAUAAUGCUUCUCUCUGGAUAUCAAUGAAAGCCUCACAAAAUUCUUGAAUGUAGUUAGAAGCAGACAUAACAUUUGCAAUGGACUUUAUAUUGGGAAUUACACAUGGAUCAACCAAAUCUAGAUAACAUUCAGCAGAUUCUCUGUCUUCCCCAUCUCUCUGGUAUGUUUCAUCAACUAUUUCAUCUUCCACAGAAGCAAAUGACUCGUCAUAAAACACACCUUCUGCACGUGAAUGA